GCCUGGGUUUGAUAUUCAUUUUAUAAUGUCUUAAUGUCAUCGAAAAAGAGUUUUCUUAUCGAUGGCUUCAGGCAGCAGGUUAGCAAACAUACUUUUGAUAACCCACCAAAUGUUAAAUGGUCAUAUUCAUUGACCAAAGAAGAUUUUGGUUUUCUUAAAUCUAAUUGUCACUUUUUUAUUUAUAUUUUGCCGGACACCAACUGAAGUCCAGGAAAGAACCCUAAUU
RNAcentral lists this long non-coding RNA (226 nucleotides) under Musa acuminata (dwarf banana). RNAcentral describes it as "long non-coding RNA (MACU_LNC005738)". The record is from RNAcentral. Lineage: Eukaryota; Viridiplantae; Streptophyta; Magnoliopsida; Zingiberales; Musaceae.